UUACGGUCACAUCGCGUUGAAACACCGAUUUCCGUACGAUCGACGAAGUUAAGCAACGCCGAUCUUGGUCAAUACUAAGAUGGUUGACCUCUAGAGAAUACCAGGUGCU
Non-coding RNA from Acanthosepion pharaonis, 109 nucleotides. The record is from the annotation of a GenBank genome assembly. Lineage: Eukaryota; Metazoa; Mollusca; Cephalopoda; Sepiida; Sepiidae.